RNAcentral lists this ribosomal RNA (253 nucleotides) under uncultured bacterium. RNAcentral describes it as "partial 16S ribosomal RNA". It matches the Rfam family "Bacterial small subunit ribosomal RNA", at positions 524 to 776 of the family's 1533-position model. The record is from RNAcentral.
UACGGGGGGGGCGAGCGUUGUUCUGCAUUACUGGGCGUAAAGGGCUCGUAGGUGGCCAACUAAGUCAGACGUGAAAUCCCUCGGCUUAACCGAGGAACUGCGUCUGAUACUGGAUGGCUUGAGUUUGGGAGAGGGACGCGGAAUUCCAGGUGUAGCGGUGAAAUGCGUAGAUAUUGGGAGGAACACCAGUGGCGAAGGCGGCUCGCUGGACCGGUUCUGACGCUGAGGCGCGAAAGCGUGGGGAGCAAACGGG